AAUUCUAGAGCAGUGCUGUCCAACAGAACUUUGACAAUGGACACGUUCUAUAUCUGUGCUGUCCAACAUGGUAACUAGUAACCACUGGCUACUGACUACUUGAAAUGUGAAUAGCUUGACUGAGGAACUCAAUUUUAAAUUUUAUAUUUUAAUUUAAACAGCCACAAGUAUCUAGUGACUACACUGUGAAAUAGGACAGCUCAAGAGGAAAAAUAAGCCAAGAUUCUGAUGUCCUUUGAACUUUGUUCUUUGAUAAAAGUUGGGCAAAAAACACAUGCCACACACAACUGUGGACCUGAGAUGUGAGACUCGUGAUAGUUCUGGAGAGAGCUUCCUGCCCUAUGCCAAAAAAGGAAGACAACUGUUCAAACUGACCAGGAGGCAAAAUAUUUCCAUGGCUGUGUCUCUGAGUCUGAGUAAAUUUUUGGUGCCUCUCCAUUACAACUAGCUGGUUUGUAUUGCAUUCAUGUUACUGAGAUCACUCUUCUUUCAUAACUCAAAUACAUAAAAAAUAAAAUAUGCGGCUCAAUGGGUUUCA
RNAcentral lists this long non-coding RNA (538 nucleotides) under Vulpes vulpes (red fox). RNAcentral's name for it is "lncRNA (ENSVVUG00000019918.1)". Lineage: Eukaryota; Metazoa; Chordata; Mammalia; Carnivora; Canidae. The record is from RNAcentral.